AUCGCUGCGAGAAACGUGUAUUUAAUGACCUGAAAUUAUUUAAAUGAUCAAGCCAUUUAUUAUAAUACUGUAAUAACAGAGUGGCCAGGUUGACAAAGCUAAAAUCUGAUGAACCUAACCUGCUAGGAUAUUUCAAUAGUCAAACAUCAGUUUCAGCAUUUAUUCAGCAUUAUUUAAUGUUGAGUUAAUACGUAUUUUUAAUAUCCAUGACAACUACAGCUGGUCAGGGAUUUGUUAGGGAAAAGGUUUAGCACCCCAU
Molecule: non-coding RNA, 259 nt
Organism: Paramuricea clavata
Lineage: Eukaryota; Metazoa; Cnidaria; Anthozoa; Malacalcyonacea; Plexauridae
Source: the annotation of a GenBank genome assembly